CCUGCAGUCUCUGAGCAUCCCGAAGGGGUGGCUGGGCGACAGAAGCCCCUGGUGCGCGGCCAGCUGGAGGCCCCGACCGAACUGAAGGCAACAAAGGCUCAGCGCUUUACGUGGAGGAGCACUGAAGGGCUGGUUUCAGUAGAGGCUCAGCAAGUAACAGAAGCUCAAAACAUGCUGAAUGAACGCAAGGAGAUUUGAAUAAGAGAAUCAGAGACUCUGACCUUAUCCACACCAGAAUCCAUGGAAAUAAGCAUGAUUAUUUCCAAAUCAACUGUUAAGGUCAUUUGCAAAGGGGGGAGGUAAGGUCUGGGGAGGGCCGUUGAUAACCAACCAUUUCCUGUCCCCCACCUAACUUGUCACGUGGGUGAAACUAAGAUCUGGGCCAGGCCAGAGGUGGGAAGCCAGGGACAGGGGACAUAGCGGGAACAAAGCAGUCUGCCUGCAAGUUGCUCGGUGCAGGUGGACAAAGUGGGUAAAGUUUAGUCCAGAUGGGCUCUCACUGAGAACUCGCUGUACUUCUGGCAAAACACCUGGCUUAAUACUCUCCACAUAGUAUUGUGAUUGUUUAACUGUCUUCUUUGAAUUCUGAUCAGGCAUGGCUGGGCUGUACUCUUGGCCCCAGCUGUAAGAUCUGAGCAAAUGACUGUCCCCAUGGACCCUCAAUGUCUUUAUGUCAAAUGGGAAUGCUGUGGCCAAGGAGGUAUCUAUUAUCAUGGCUUAGAGCCUCACACACGAGGUCAAGAUCUAGAUACAGAGUUUUCUCUGUGUGGCUGGUAAGGAUUCAGGAUGACACACGUCAAGCUCUCACCAGAGGCUGACACAAGGGAGGCCUUCAGUUGACCUCUCCCAGGGCCGGAAUGGAGCUGUCUCCCAGCCUCUGCAUUUGGCACAUACCCUGAAGAGGCAUAUGAAGCCCGGCGGGCAUGUGGUGGUGGGGGUGAGCUAGGAAGGAGUGGAAAGGCCUUGUGUGCCAGGCUGAGGGGUUUAUCCGGGGGCAGUGAAGAACCACGGAGAGUUUUGAGAAGGGCAGGGACUUGGUUGUCACUUGUGGGAGGGGCCUAGCUUAGGCUGACCUCUCAGGGGCUCUUUUUCCCUGAUGUGGCCCCUGCUGCGUGGCACUAAGGAUCCAGCAUCUGUGCUGGAGACUCUGCAGACCUGAGACUCACACGGUGGUGGCACUCAGGCUCCCCAGGCUUCUGGGAUGCUUUGGUGUUUACCCUAUCAUAUUCCGUUCCACUUGGCUUGAGAGUGCUGGGCUGUAGAAAUCCUCCCACUCUGGGUGUGUGCAAAGCAGCACCUCUGGCUCCCUUGACUUUGCACAUAGUGACUUCAGAGGUUGCCAGGAGCCUCACUGGCAAAGACCAGCUCCCUUUUCCUGCGUGGCCACCAUAUGCUAAUGAGCCCUGACUGGGAACCAUUUUCCUAGCCUGCCAAGGCCCUGCUGGAAAGUAGGUGUAAUUCUCUCCCCAUUUUACAGAUGAGGAAACAGAGGCUGGCAGAGUGAUAAGGAGUGCUCAGUGGCAGAGCUAGCCCUGCCUUUGGACCCUGGGUGUUUGAACGCUGCUCCC
Heterocephalus glaber (naked mole-rat) is the source of this 1568-nucleotide long non-coding RNA. The record is from Ensembl. NCBI's taxonomy places the organism in Eukaryota, Metazoa, Chordata, Mammalia, Rodentia, Bathyergidae.